This 284-nucleotide long non-coding RNA is filed under the name Pan troglodytes (chimpanzee). RNAcentral describes it as "lincRNA". The record is from RNAcentral. Lineage: Eukaryota; Metazoa; Chordata; Mammalia; Primates; Hominidae.
GUUUCUGGCCCUGCCAGUGUCUCCGCCGGUUGAAAGCGCGUGUCUGCGUCGGGUUCUGUUGGAGUGCGUUCGGUGCGCCGUGGGUCCGCGCUGCUUCCACCCAACUUCCUGUUAGGUUACAUUAGUUAUAAUAUACACUCUGGAGGUGACUUGACUUGUCAUUGUGAACAACUAUUGCUCUUGGACGACCCAGGACAUAGGCCAGCCAGUACGUACCCCAGUGUGUUGGAGAAUCGCACUCGGCUUCUUCCUCUGUGCUGAGUCAUGAAAGUUGCCGGAGCAGG